CCUACGGGUGGCUGCAGUGGGGAAUUUUGCGCAAUGCUCGCAAGAGUGACGCAGCGACGCCGCGUGAAUGACGAAGGCCUUCGGGUCGUUAAGUUCUUUCGACAGGGAAGAAAAUGCCUAUAAGUAACUGUGUAUGUAUUGACGGUACCUGUAUAAGCAGCCCCGGCUAACUCCGUGCCAGCCGCCGCUGUAAUACGGUGGGGGCGAGCGUUGUUCGGUUGUACUGGGGGUAAAGGGCACGUAGGCGGUGUUGUAAGUCAGUCGUCAAAGACUAAGGCUCAACUUUAGUAAGGCUAGUGAUACUAUAAUACUAGAGUAUCAGAGAGGAUUGCAGAAUUCCUGGUGUAGCGGUGAAAUGCGUAGAUAUCAGGAGGAAUACCGUUAGCGAAGGCGGCAAUCUGGCUGGAAACUGACGCUGAGGUGCGAAAGCGUGGGUAGCAAACAGGAUUAGAUACCCGGGUAGUC
Molecule: ribosomal RNA, 465 nt
Filed under: uncultured bacterium
Lineage: Bacteria
Description: partial 16S ribosomal RNA
Rfam family: Bacterial small subunit ribosomal RNA
Source: RNAcentral